Molecule: long non-coding RNA, 1651 nt
Organism: Malus domestica (apple)
Lineage: Eukaryota; Viridiplantae; Streptophyta; Magnoliopsida; Rosales; Rosaceae
Source: RefSeq, a predicted model, not a curated record
UAAAAAAAUGGAAAUACCCAAAUAGUUUCUAGACUCGUUCCUCGAAAUAACAGCUUCUAUACUUGGUCCGACGCGAGGCUGCCGAUUUUUCCAUUUCUCUAGCUCCUCAUUUUCUCUCCAACUUGUCCAGGAACCUCUUUGCUGUCAUCAUUCGCAGCCGGCGUGUCUAAUCGCUGACGAAGAUAUUGCCAUUCGCCUAUUUUCCUUCAUUUCUUCUUUAAAUUAUGUCAUUUUUCUUUCUCCAUUAGAUUGCAUUGCCAGUUUCCCAAUUUGAAUUUCAUUUGUGAUUAGUUACAAAUUAUGUUGCAAUUUCGGUAGUAAUUUUGGUUAGGAAUUGUUGGUUUUUUUUUUUGGGGGGGGGGGGAGAUUUGAUUGAAAUAGAGCUCCAAUGUUUUGGGAGUUUUGAUCAGCCUUUGUUUGGGUAAUAAUAAGUCUAAUUAGGGUUUCCGAUGGGAGAUUAGGUUGUGGAGGUAUUGGGAUCAGUCAUCCAAAUUGGGGGUUUUCUGGUUCAGUCAAAUUAUCAUUAUGUUAUAUAGGAAAUUAUAUGACUUCCCUCUUAACCUAAUGGGUUUGUUAUUGGGUAAUUUAAAUUGGUACCUUGUUUAGAGAUAAUUCUAAUGAUGGAAUUUAGGUGCAAACUCCGAGCUGGAUUAGUUGACCUGGACCUUAUGAUCUAUGCACAUCAUGGUUUUUAUGUACACUUAAAUACUUCUUGAAUUUUAUCUACAAUUUUGUAGUUGAAGCUUCAUUGUUCAUGAUAUUAUUAGAGAGAUUUUGGGGAAAUUCUUUUUUGGCGUAUUAUAAAUCUCUUAAAGAUGAAAGUAACAUGUAUUUUGAGGCAGUCCAUCUUCCUAAAAUUAUGGUUUAUAACAAAAAUCCUUGUGUGUCAAACAUUGAAGACUCAAAAUCUAACGGUGGGCAAUCAUCAAGACAACAUAUUUACCCAUUGAAUUUGAAAUAAAAGACGAUUGCUUACGCCAUCUCACCAAACACAAACUCUAGGGUUUCUAAUGGCAGGCUAUGGAAAUGUUGUCCCAUAUAGAUCAAGGAAGGGUCUUAACCCAAGACCAGCGGCUAACAUGGACGAAAUCCAAUUGAGGAUUGAUCCAAUGUAUGCUGACUUGGAUGAAGACAUCAAAGGCCUCCACAACCAAGUAGAAGAUUGAGAAAUGUAGCUCAAGUUAUAGGUACGGAAGCAAAAUUCCAGAAUGAAUUUCUGGAUCAGCUGGUCAAGCAGGGUUGAAGAACAAUGUCAGGAGAUUGAACCGAAGCAUCGUCCGGAGUGGAUCAAACCAUGUUGUCCACGUGGUGGCUUUUGGACUACUUUUUUUCUUCGUGGUAUACUUUUGGUCCAAACUGUUCAGAUGAAGAUCAGAUACUUUGGAUACUUCAUGCCUUACAAACAUCUGUGUUUUAAGGCUAAAAGAGGUUUCAUCGACAACACAAAUACUUGUUUCAUUGUAAAGCUAUCGUCAUGUUCAUGUUCACUAAACAAGUUGAACAUCUUAACAAUCUUGGUUCGAGUUUCUCAAAGGAUUGUGCUUAUAGCGUCAUUGUACAACAACCCCACUAAUCAUGUAAGCAGUAUGUGACAAUGUUUUCUUAUCUUGGUUUCUUUAUACCAUAUUUAACUUUUGUGUGGAGAAUGAAA